CCUACGUGUGGCAGCAGUGAGGAAUAUUGGUCAAUGGACGAAAGUCUGAACCAGCCAAGUAGCGUGCAGGAUGACUGCCCUAUGGGUUGUAAACUUCUUUUAUGUGGGACUAAACUGUUCCACGUGUGGGAUUUUGUAUGUACCGUAUGAAUAAGGAUCGGCUAAUUCCGUGCCAGCAGCCGCGGUAAUACGGAGGUUCCGGGCGUUAUCCGGAUUUAUUGGGUUUAAAGGGUGCGUAGGCUGCCUGUUAAGUCAGUUGUGAAAGUGCGCGGCGCAACCGUAAAAUUGCAGUUGAAACUGGCAGGCUUGAGUACGGUAGAGGUGGGCGGAAUUCGUGGUGUAGCGGUGAAAUGCUUAGAUAUCACGCAGAACUCCGAUUGCGAAGGCAGCAUACCGGCGCUCAACUGACGCUGAUGCACGAAAGUGUGGGUAUCGAACAGGAUUAGAUACCCGAGUAGUC
RNAcentral lists this ribosomal RNA (460 nucleotides) under uncultured bacterium. RNAcentral describes it as "partial 16S ribosomal RNA". It matches the Rfam family "Bacterial small subunit ribosomal RNA", at positions 338 to 795 of the family's 1533-position model. The record is from RNAcentral.